GUGCACGCUGGCGGUAGGCCUAACCCAUGCCAGUCGAACGGCAGCACAGUAAGAGCUUGCUCUUACGGGUGGCGAGUGGCGGACGGGUGAGGAAUACAUCGGAAUCUACUUUUUCGUGGGGGAUAACGUAGGGAAACUUACGCUAAUACCGCAUACGACCUGCGGGUGAAAGCAGGGGAUCUUCGGACCUUGCGCGAUUGAAUGAGCCGAUGUCGGAUUAGCUAGUUGGCGGGGUAAAGGCCCACCAAGGCGACGAUCCGUAGCUGGUCUGAGAGGAUGAUCAGCCACACUGGAACUGAGACACGGUCCAGACUCCUACGGGAGGCAGCAGUGGGGAAUAUUGGACAAUGGGCGCAAGCCUGAUCCAGCCAUACCGCGUGGGUGAAGAAGGCCUUCGGGUUGUAAAGCCCUUUUGUUGGGAAAGAAAAGCAGCAGGUUAAUACCCCGCUGUUCUGACGGUACCCAAAGAAUAAGCACCGGCUAACUUCGUG
RNAcentral lists this ribosomal RNA (491 nucleotides) under uncultured bacterium. Its description in RNAcentral is "partial 16S ribosomal RNA". It matches the Rfam family "Bacterial small subunit ribosomal RNA", at positions 29 to 507 of the family's 1533-position model. The record is from RNAcentral.